Molecule: ribosomal RNA, 357 nt
Filed under: Escherichia coli
Lineage: Bacteria; Pseudomonadati; Pseudomonadota; Gammaproteobacteria; Enterobacterales; Enterobacteriaceae
Description: partial 23S ribosomal RNA
Rfam family: Bacterial large subunit ribosomal RNA
Source: RNAcentral
CCAUAGGUUAAUGAGGCGAACCGGGGGAACUGAAACAUCUAAGUACCCCGAGGAAAAGAAAUCAACCGAGAUUCCCCCAGUAGCGGCGAGCGAACGGGGAGCAGCCCAGAGCCUGAAUCAGUGUGUGUGUUAGUGGAAGCGUCUGGAAAGGCGCGCGAUACAGGGUGACAGCCCCGUACACAAAAAUGCACAUACUGUGAGCUCGAUGAGUAGGGCGGGACACGUGGUAUCCUGUCUGAAUAUGGGGGGACCAUCCUCCAAGGCUAAAUACUCCUGACUGACCGAUAGUGAACCAGUACCGUGAGGGAAAGGCGAAAAGAACCCCGGCGAGGGGAGUGAAAAAGAACCUGAAACCGU